ACACUUACCAUUAAUUAAAACAACCACAAGUACAAUUCAGUCCAUUGAAGUGAAAUCUGCUGCAACACGCCUUCUUCAACGUAACCUUUACAAAGAUUUAAAUCCCUUAAUAAGAACCCACACGCCAGACUAACAAAGAAAUCCAACCGAAACCACUUACAAAACCUACCACAAUGAGCUAAAAGCAAAUAGAACGUCGAACCCCCACGUUUAUGACGACCAAAUCAUUAAGCGAAAAAACAAAAGAAUUAACACAGAAAGAGAGGAUUGCAGGAAGAAACAGAAAAAAAAAAGAGAUAGAAGAAACUAGGAACAAAACGUCAGAUGUGAAACAGAAAGGGAAUUUGGGAAAAAUAAAAUAAAAUAAUAAUGAUAAUAUCAAAUAAAAUCUCAACAUCCCUACUAACAACACAAUCCCAACUUCCUUAGAAUCCCAAUACCACUAAAACUCUCAAUCUGCCAACCGAAACAAAAAUUAACACCCUCACUCACGCAGGGAUUCGAACACAAGAUCUUCAACACAAUAACCCCCUUACCAUUCAAACCAAUAGGCUUAUUCUGAGAUGGAUUAACAGACAAUUAUAUAUAAGCCCACACAACAAGGGUAGAGCUUGGAUCUAAAAUAGCAAAAUUAUCAAAGGUGAGACUUGAACCCAAGACCUUACACACACA
This 672-nucleotide long non-coding RNA is filed under the name Gossypium raimondii (Peruvian cotton). Its description in RNAcentral is "long non-coding RNA (GRAI_LNC001430)". Lineage: Eukaryota; Viridiplantae; Streptophyta; Magnoliopsida; Malvales; Malvaceae. The record is from RNAcentral.